CAGUAGCCGCGGGAAUACGUAGGGUGCGAGCGUUAAUCGGAAUUACUGGGCGUAAAGCGUGCGCAGGCGGUUCGUUAAGACAGAUGUGAAAUCCCCGGGCUUAACCUGGGAACUGCAUUUGUGACUGGCGAGCUAGAGUAUGGCAGAGGGGGGUAGAAUUCCACGUGUAGCAGUGAAAUGCGUAGAGAUGUGGAGGAAUACCGAUGGCGAAGGCAGCCCCCUGGGCCAAUACUGACGCUCAUGCACGAAAGCGUGGGGAGCAAACAGGAUUAGAUACCCGUGUAGUCCCUGUCUCUUAUAA
This 301-nucleotide ribosomal RNA is filed under the name uncultured bacterium. RNAcentral describes it as "partial 16S ribosomal RNA". It matches the Rfam family "Bacterial small subunit ribosomal RNA", at positions 509 to 809 of the family's 1533-position model. The record is from RNAcentral.